CAUGCCGUAAACGAUGAAUACCAGCUGUUGGCGAUAGACAGUCAGCGGCGUAAGCGAAAGCGUUAAGUAUUCCACCUGGGGAGUACGCCGGCAACGGUGAAACUCAAAGGAAUUGACGGGGGCCCGCACAAGCGGAGGAACAUGUGGUUUAAUUCGAUGAUACGCGAGGAACCUUACCCGGGCUUGAAUUGCAACCGAAUAAUCGAGAGAUCGAUUAGCCGCAAGGCGGUUGUGAAGGUGC
RNAcentral lists this ribosomal RNA (241 nucleotides) under uncultured bacterium. Its description in RNAcentral is "partial 16S ribosomal RNA". It matches the Rfam family "Bacterial small subunit ribosomal RNA", at positions 796 to 1041 of the family's 1533-position model. The record is from RNAcentral.